Molecule: long non-coding RNA, 1093 nt
Organism: Dreissena polymorpha
Lineage: Eukaryota; Metazoa; Mollusca; Bivalvia; Myida; Dreissenidae
Exons: 4
Source: RefSeq, a predicted model, not a curated record
AAAUGGGAAGUUCAAUAUCUGAAUUCAGAAAAAACAACAAAAAUCCAAGAGUGCAUCCCAAAGCCGGAGCUUGCGUUGGAGAAAAAAAUGGAAAAAUAUUCAAUGUAGUGAACCAAUUACUUAGUGGACAUACUCGCUUAAAGGCUCACUGGUCCAAGAUUACAAACAGCGAAGAUGUGGAGUGUGAAGCAUGUAGAACAUCAGAAACUAUAAAACACUUCAUAUUUGACUGUUCAAAAUACUCACAAGAAAGAUCAAGUCUUCAAUACAGAACUGAAGAAAUAUUACAUAGAAAUAAUAUAUCAUGUUCUGAUAUUACACUGGCAACUUUAGUUGGAGAGAUACCGGACAUUACUUUACAUGCAAAAGAAGAACUGUUCAAUUCAUUUGGCAAAUUCAUCAUGGAAACAAACAGACUUUAGAUGUAAAUGACAUAAAGUGUAAAAAAGUAUCAAGUGAAAAUGCAACAAGAGAAAUUUUUGUACAUAGAUGAAAACGACUUCAACAGUCGUCAAAGCACAACGAGACCAUAGGCGACAACGACGCCAUAAUUAGAUUCAACAACAACAACAACAUAAUAAUGGAUCAUACUUAUAUAAAAGGGGAGAGAGUGUCUGGGUUUCAAGUGAUCGGGAGUAGGUCUGGCCCAGAUCACAUAUACAGUUCCUGUGCCCCCAAAGACUCAAGUACCCCUCCGAAACGAGGAAGCAAGAGGGCAGUGUCAACUCCCACAGGACAAACACCUACACAUGAACAUAAAAGGAUUGAACUGGAUGAAAAAACCAGACACAACAAAUGGUCCCUCGAUGAGACAUCCUUUCUGAGAGAAUACAGUCAGACAUUACGAAAAGAUGGCGAGUCAGAAAACAGUUUCUGGAACAACUGCGCAAUUGCAAUGAACAACAUGUUUGGUGGAAAAAACAGAACAGGGAAGUCCUGCAAGAUGGCAGCCUGGCGGUUAAAUCUUUCUGGUACAUGUAACAGCACCAUGUGUACUUCUGUUAAUGAAGACUUUGUGGAUUUUACGCCGCUGUCAGAGACAAAAGGAAACAAUGUGGGAACCCAGACUGAUUUGUCUUUUAAUAAUAAGCAA